UGCAGUCGACGGUAAGGCCCCAGCUUGCUGGGGUACACGAGUGGCGAACGGGUGAGUAACACGUGGGUGACCUGCCCCGCACUUCGGGAUAAGCCUGGGAAACUGGGUCUAAUACCGGAUAGGACCGCACCGUGAGGGUGUGGUGGAAAGUUUUUCGGUGUGGGAUGGGCCCGCGGCCUAUCAGCUUGUUGGUGGGGUAAUGGCCUACCAAGGCGGCGACGGGUAGCCGGCCUGAGAGGGUGGACGGCCACAUUGGGACUGAGACACGGCCCAGACUCCUACGGGAGGCAGCAGUGGGGAAUAUUGCACAAUGGGCGGAAGCCUGAUGCAGCGACGCCGCGUGGGGGAUGACGGCCUUCGGGUUGUAAACUCCUUUCACCAUCGACGAAGGUUUUCUGACGGUAGAUGGAGAAGAAGCACCGGCUAACUACGUGCCAGCAGCCGCGGUAAUACGUAGGGUGCGAGCGUUGUCCGGAAUUACUGGGCGUAAAGAGCUCGUAGGUGGUUUGUCGCGUCGUCUGUGAAAUUCCGGGGCUUAACUCCGGGCGUGCAGGCGAUACGGGCAUAACUUGAGUACUGUAGGGGAGACUGGAAUUCCUGGUGUAGCGGUGAAAUGCGCAGAUAUCAGGAGGAACACCGGUGGCGAAGGCGGGUCUCUGGGCAGUAACUGACGCUGAGGAGCGAAAGCAUGGGUAGCGAACAGGAUUAGAUACCCUGGUAGUCCAUGCCGUAAACGGUGGGCGCUAGGUGUAGGGGUCUUCCACGACUUCUGUGCCGUAG
This 780-nucleotide ribosomal RNA is filed under the name bacterium LGM68. Its description in RNAcentral is "bacterial SSU rRNA". It matches the Rfam family "Bacterial small subunit ribosomal RNA", at positions 56 to 851 of the family's 1533-position model. The record is from RNAcentral.